UACGGCCACGUCGCGCUGAAACAACGAUUCCCGUACAAUCACCGAAGUUAAGCAACGUCGAUCCUGGUCAGUACCUAGAUGGGUGACCGUUUGGGAAUAUCAGGUGUUGUAA
Molecule: non-coding RNA, 112 nt
Organism: Acanthosepion pharaonis
Lineage: Eukaryota; Metazoa; Mollusca; Cephalopoda; Sepiida; Sepiidae
Source: the annotation of a GenBank genome assembly